Molecule: non-coding RNA, 308 nt
Organism: Pimephales promelas (fathead minnow)
Lineage: Eukaryota; Metazoa; Chordata; Actinopteri; Cypriniformes; Leuciscidae
Source: RefSeq, a predicted model, not a curated record
GAGAGAUUCUGUUGAGUUGCAGGAAAGAUAUUCAGACCAGAACAGCGCAGACUCAGUGAUAAAGCAUUUGAGGAGCUAUUGAGAAUUAGAUGCUCAGUGACUUUUGCAUUGGAAUACAUGAUAACUGCAAGGAAAAUUCCGGCAUGGUAAAUCUUUUUCUUCGAGCCAAGCACUUUCCUAAGAAUAAGGUCUCCCAUCUGAAGAUUUGAUGUAUUGAAAUUGCCAUCAUUGGAUUCUAUUAUUGUUUUGAAGUUCCCGUUGCAUCCAAGUAUCAAGGUCAUAAUGUUUUUGAAAUUGUCCAUUGUUUU